This 240-nucleotide ribosomal RNA is filed under the name uncultured bacterium. RNAcentral describes it as "partial 16S ribosomal RNA". It matches the Rfam family "Bacterial small subunit ribosomal RNA", at positions 118 to 345 of the family's 1533-position model. The record is from RNAcentral.
UGGGUAACCUGCCUCAAAGAGGGGAAUAGCCUCCCGAAAGGGAGAUUAAUACCGCAUAAUAUGUUUAGGUCGCAUGACUUUAACAUCAAAGGAUUUUCUUUUAGAAAUUCCACUUUGAGAUGGACCCGCGGCGCAUUAGCUAGUUGGUGAGGUAACGGCUCACCAAGGCAACGAUGCGUAGCCGACCUGAGAGGGUGAUCGGCCACAUUGGAACUGAGACACGGUCCAGCUCCGUAGGAG